Molecule: ribosomal RNA, 253 nt
Filed under: uncultured bacterium
Lineage: Bacteria
Description: partial 16S ribosomal RNA
Rfam family: Bacterial small subunit ribosomal RNA
Source: RNAcentral
GACGAAGGGGGCUAGCGUUGUUCGGAAUUACUGGGCGUAAAGCGCGUGUAGGCGGUUGUCCAAGUUGGAUGUGAAAACCUUGAGCUUAACUCAAGAAAUGCAUUCAGGACUGGAUGACUAGAGGACCGGAGAGGAUAGUGGAAUUCCCAGUGUAGUGGUGAAAUACGUAGAGAUUGGGAAGAACACCAGUGGCGAAGGCGGCUAUCUGGACGGUUUCUGACGCUAAGACGCGAAAGCGUGGGGAGCAAACAGG